CAGCAGCCACGGGAAUACGGAGGGUGCAAGCGUUAUCCGGAUUUAUUGGGUUUAAAGGGUCCGUAGGCGGAUCUGUAAGUCAGUGGUGAAAUCUCACAGCUUAACUGUGAAACUGCCAUUGAUACUGCAGGUCUUGAGUAAAUUUGAAGUGGCUGGAAUAAGUAGUGUAGCGGUGAAAUGCAUAGAUAUUACUUAGAAAACCAAUUGCGAAGGCAGGUCACUAAGAUUUAACUGACGCUGAUGGACGAAAGCGUGGGGAGCGAACAGGAUUAGAUACCCCAGUAGUCCCUGUCUCUUAUAC
This 301-nucleotide ribosomal RNA is filed under the name uncultured bacterium. RNAcentral describes it as "partial 16S ribosomal RNA". It matches the Rfam family "Bacterial small subunit ribosomal RNA", at positions 509 to 807 of the family's 1533-position model. The record is from RNAcentral.